GGUUGUGGCUCAGUGGUAGAGCAUUUGCCUAGCAGGUACAAGGCCCUGGGUUUGAUCCUCAGCACCA
RNAcentral lists this transfer RNA (67 nucleotides) under Marmota monax (woodchuck). Its description in RNAcentral is "tRNA.Ala". It matches the Rfam family "tRNA". Rfam says of the family: Transfer RNA (tRNA) molecules are approximately 80 nucleotides in length. Their secondary structure includes four short double-helical elements and three loops (D, anti-codon, and T loops). Lineage: Eukaryota; Metazoa; Chordata; Mammalia; Rodentia; Sciuridae. The record is from RNAcentral.